RNAcentral lists this ribosomal RNA (254 nucleotides) under uncultured bacterium. Its description in RNAcentral is "partial 16S ribosomal RNA". It matches the Rfam family "Bacterial small subunit ribosomal RNA", at positions 524 to 777 of the family's 1533-position model. The record is from RNAcentral.
UACAGAGGGGGCAAGCGUUGUUCGGAAUUACUGGGCGUAAAGGGCGCGUAGGCGGCUAGGCAAGUCAGGUGUGAAAGCCCCGGGCUUAACCCGGGAAUUGCAUCUGAAACUGCUGUGCUUGAGUUCUGGAGGGGGUAGUGGAAUUCCCAGUGUAGCGGUGAAAUGCGUAGAUAUUGGGAGGAACACCAGUGGCGAAGGCGACUACCUGGCCUGUUCUUGACGCUGAGGCGCGAAAGCUAGGGGAGCAAACGGGG